UACGGAAGGGGCUAGCGUUGUUCGGAAUUACUGGGCGUAAAGAGCGCGUAGGCGGCUUACCAAGUUGGAGGUGAAAUCCCGGAGCUCAACUCCGGAACUGCCUUCAAAACUGGUAGGCUCGAGUCCGGAAGAGGGGCGUGGAAUUCCCAGUGUAGAGGUGAAAUUCGUAGAUAUUGGGUAGAACACCGGUGGCGAAGGCGGCGCCCUGGUCCGGUACUGACGAUGAGGCGCGAAAGAGUGGGGAGCAAACAGG
Molecule: ribosomal RNA, 253 nt
Filed under: uncultured bacterium
Lineage: Bacteria
Description: partial 16S ribosomal RNA
Rfam family: Bacterial small subunit ribosomal RNA
Source: RNAcentral